CUCCGGAGUAGAAGCAGUCAGCGCAAAGGCGCGGUCAUUGCUCCGGUC
This 48-nucleotide non-coding RNA is filed under the name Aquimixticola soesokkakensis. RNAcentral describes it as "Xanthine-I sequence". It matches the Rfam family "Xanthine riboswitch aptamer (NMT1 RNA)". Rfam says of the family: Later it was reported as a ncRNA that recognised Xanthine. Lineage: Bacteria; Pseudomonadati; Pseudomonadota; Alphaproteobacteria; Rhodobacterales; Paracoccaceae. The record is from Rfam by way of RNAcentral.